AAACUUAGGUUUCUGUAAACUGAAAAUAUAUGUUAAGCCGCCUUGUUAAUGAGUUAUUAUUACCGAAUUAGCAAAAUCAUAGAGUUAAUUAACUAGAAUUCAAAUAACUGUUGAAUUUGAAUCAGCUGUAGGUGAUAUAUCGUCACAUCUCAUAGUUAAUGGUGGCUCAUUUUACCACUUGAAACUCAGCUGUAUUUCAGAAAACGUCGGGAAAGUGAUUUUCAUAUUAUUUAAUCAAUUUACAUGUAACGAAUUUGGCCGGCGUCCUUGUGCGCAUUGUACAAUUAUACAGUGAUUGCAAUAUUCUUUUCCGAUAAAUUGAAUGUAAAUUAAUUCAUCGGUGCAAAUUUACUGCCUCGACGCAGUGUUGCAGCAGCCCCAAGCUAAGGGAGCACCCAGCGCGCGUUUUUGGCUAUAUGGCAUAAGCGUCGUAUCUCUCAACAAUUCCGCACGAUUGACUCAUGUAACCAUGUUUACACUUAGAAUCAUGGUGCGCUGCUUGAAAGACAUGUGAAGGAGAUGAUGAGAUAUGGAUAUUGCUUAUAGACGAGACAUAAACUGAGCUAAGUGUAUCCAUAAUUCAUGCCAAAUGGACGCGUCUCUCUUGCCGGCCCCAAGAUGCAAUUUGUUUUCCUGGAAAGUUUGAAAGUUUCGUGUCAGUUUAUUAUCAUAGGAGGACUGCGGCGGGGCUUCGAUCUGAGACUUGUGCGACCAUGCCGCUUCAAAGUGUUCUAGAUUAUACAGUCUUAGCCGGCAUGUUAUAAUAAACUUUCGAUUUGUCUACACAAUCUAAUAGAGGGCGUUUUUUAUAUAUUUUCUUUUGAUCUUUCCAUUUUUCCCUGUGGCUUGUCUACAUAUUUGCUCCGCUUUCUGCAAUUGUCAUCGCCGCUUCCUGCCAGUCAAACAUCCGCCUUGGCAUCGAAAGUUUUUUUGAUUGAUAUCAAUACUUCCCUCUUGGAUAGCGCGGCAUGAAUCACCGCCAAAAGUAUGGGCCAACGGAACGUACGUCGGCUGCGCGCUUCCGCUGGUCAUUCCACUAUGCAGUAAAAGCGCGUACACUGGCUGCUGUCGACGGGGAAGCUGGGCCUUAAACGAUCUGUAUCUUACGGCUGAACGGAAAGUAGGAUCAUCGUCUGCGAGGGAUAUAUGUCUGACUGUGUGGUUUACCCCGAAAUACUUAGCGUCCGGAACUUUGGACAACAGCGCCGCUACCGUAUGUGGUCCGGAAGUCGAUCUGUGGAGCAUGUAAGCUCCAGGCCAGUUCCUUUUAUGUAGCUCUAAUACCGGUCUUAUCGCAGCGACGAAGAAGACCGUGCUACCCGGUUCGCGUGUGCCCUUUACUCAGAUAACGGUACCCAUAGUGCUGUUACACUGCUGUAGUGAAUCAAAGAGCAGCAGAACAACAGCCGGUCUUAAAAAUUAAUACGAUUCACUGGAAACACCGCUUAUACCAUUACCCACUGCAGUGCAAUUGUUCACCUUCUUCCGAGCGACAUUCAAUGCUUCUGAAGAAUGAUGAUCAGUGUACAAGCAUGCGAAAAGAGAGGCCGGAACCUACUCAUGCGGACACAUCUGUCAGAAUAGCCGGCAGCGAAACUGGAAAAAAUCAUACACUUUGGCACCGAACACCGGCGCGGCUCACGGCGGCUACGUCGACACAAUUGGACCAAAGAGAAAACUCUUGGGUGACACAUAUUGAGCGCGGGCGACUGAUGCGAUGGAAAAAUGGCAAAUACAGCAAAAAACUAUUGCCAUGACCUCAGACGAAAAAUUUAGUGCCUUAACCGCUUUCAUACCAUAAAACGACGCUAUUGAGCAUAUAAGCAAGAUUAUUGUUUAAGCGGGAAUGGAGCCAUUAGAAAAGCAGUCAAGCUCAAGAAAAUACGGUGACCUCGUAAAAUCGCUCCAGCGAAGAGAAAAUGAUGUUUUGCGGUGCCGACAUAAUUGAUGAUAUAGCGAUGAAAACAAACGACAGAAUGCCGGUCGUUGUUAUCAUGGCGGAUUUCAGCUGGCCCAGAAAGACGACAGCAGAACGGUUGUUUCACCCCGAUUUUACAAUGCACAGCGUUGAACCUUGUCAUCCACCGCAACAACGAUUAACACGCUCCCGGUGUAUGCAGUGUGUGCCUAAUGAAGCGGUCAAUCUCUGUGCUUCCAAAAAUAAAAUGCCCCAACACCGGCCUUCUAUUAGACGGACACGCAGUCAACGAAACAGUUGCAGUAGGAAAGUCGUGAUUAUUAAUAUCAACUGCAUUAUGUCUGUUAUGUAUACAAAGACACACAGCAUACACAUACAGGAGCAGCUGUCAAAAAGCAAUUUGCAAAUGCUGCUUAUAAAUCCCCGAUGAUAUAAGCCGGGAUAUCUUGUGCUGUGCGUUCAACGGUGCCACGCAUGUCACCACAUAACAAGGCAAGUAAGUGAUCAUCGGGCGUGUUUUUUGCCGCUAAGGGAAUCGUAGUGUGCUUCCGCUGUGAAACAGAGUAACCAAGGACAUCUAGGCCAUGAUAGAAAUUAACAACAAGUUGUUUGAUAUGGUAACUGAUUUGUUAGUGAUUAAUGGCUUUUCUCAUUAGAUGAUUGCACGCUGGCAUUGUACACUGAUGUACGGCCAGUAAACGAGUACAUGCAGUAAAAUAUUGUAUAAUGUAGCGCAUUCAUAGAGAAUUUAGACAAUAAGAUGUCUUGAUUUUGCUGGCUUAAUGUCUCCUAAUCGUUUUGCUCGUUUAUUGUAAGCUUAUAAGUGUCCUGUCAGCAGAGAUAUGGAUUUAAUAUUUGACAAUCCCUUCACGAUACAUCAUGUACACGUUAAUUCCGCAUCAUGUCUUCGUAAUGGCACUGGACAGCUGGUAAAAAACGACAAGGUACGGCUGCGCGCUGCCGCUCUGAAUUGGGUCAACAAAUCCUUGUUACGCAACCAAAUAGCCGCCUUAAAUUAGACUUUAAAAUUUGGAUUUGAUAUCGGCCAUCAGUCAGCACAGCGCUUCUCUUAGCGCCGACGCAAGGAAGCGAAAACAUGGCCAAUACUAGUGACAACCCUUCUAAAGCGUCGCCGGCUUGGCUCUAUUUCAGGAACACGUCCGGAUUUCCUUAAAUUUUCUACCAGAGCAUCCACAUCCUGCAUGUGUACGGUGUUGUGCGAAUAAAAAUGUUCACGUCCGACUGGCUCCCUAUUCACAUCCGCCAUUAAGAGAGUAUUAUUUUUUGGAUAGUUAGCAUGCACGGCAGUCAGUGCAUUCCUGGUACAAUUUAACCUACUCUACUUGCUGCGAAAUCCUUCCGGUUAGCGUCAUUUCCCGGUGACCGGCACAUCAAUUUUGUUCAGCGAAUCUGAUUCUUCUUUUGAAUGUUUUUAAAUACAAUGCCCACAUUGAGUGGUUUUAAAAAUUAAUCAUUGUAUUUUCCAGUACUUGUUCGAGAUACAAUGUAUGGCCGCUAUUACCAUUGUGAAUUGUGGAAUUUUUACCCACGUAGUCUCGUUGUGAGACUACACAAUCAGCUUCCUUAGAUCUCCAUUUUAAUUACAUUUAUCAAUGCCAGCGCGGUACAAAA
Molecule: RNA transcript, 3550 nt
Organism: Paramacrobiotus metropolitanus
Lineage: Eukaryota; Metazoa; Tardigrada; Eutardigrada; Parachela; Macrobiotidae
Exons: 7
Source: RefSeq, a predicted model, not a curated record